UACGUAGGGUGCAAGCGUUGUCCGGAAUUAUUGGGCGUAAAGAGCUCGUAGGCGGUUUGUUGCGUCGGCUGUGAAAUCCCGAGGCUCAACCUCGGGUCUGCAGUCGAUACGAGCAAACUAGAGUGUUGCAGGGGAGACUGGAAUUCCUGGUGUAGCGGUGAAAUGCGCAGAUAUCAGGAGGAACACCGGUGGCGAAGGCGGGUCUCUGGGCAACAACUGACGCUGGAGGAGCGAAAGCCGUGGGGAGCGAACGGG
Molecule: ribosomal RNA, 255 nt
Filed under: uncultured bacterium
Lineage: Bacteria
Description: partial 16S ribosomal RNA
Rfam family: Bacterial small subunit ribosomal RNA
Source: RNAcentral